RNAcentral lists this ribosomal RNA (1045 nucleotides) under uncultured bacterium. RNAcentral describes it as "bacterial SSU rRNA". It matches the Rfam family "Bacterial small subunit ribosomal RNA", at positions 337 to 1399 of the family's 1533-position model. The record is from RNAcentral.
UCUUACGAGUAGCAGCAAUGGGGAAUAUUUGGCAACGAGCGCAAGCGUGUCCCAGCAACGCCUCGUGAAGGAAGAAGGCUUUCGGGUUGUAAAAUUAUUUUGUCAGAGAUGAGCAGAAGUCGGUACCUGAGAAAUAAGCCUCUGCUAUCUAUGUGCCAGCACCCGCGGUAAUAUGUAGGUGGCAAGCGUUGUCUGGAUUUUUUGGGUGUAAAGGGCGUGUAGCCGGGAGGGCAAGUCUAGAUGUGAAAUCCACGGGUGUUAACUCGUGAAUCUGCAUUUGAAACUGUCAAACUAGAGAGCAGGAGAGGAAAGUGGAAUUCCUAGUGUAACGGGUAAAUGCGUAGAUAUUAGGAAGAACACCAGUGGCGUAGCCGGCUUUCUGGAUUGUAACUGACACUGUGGCACGAAAGCGUGGGGAGCAUACAGGAUUAGAUACCAUGGUAGUCCACGCUGUAAACGAUGAAUACUAGGUGUCGGAGGGUUAUACAUUUGGUGCUGUCGCUAACGCAUUAAGUAUUCCACCUGGGGAGUACGUUCGCAAGAAUAAAACUCAAUGGAAUCGACGUGGACCCGCACAAGCGGUGGAGCAUGUGGUUUAAUUCGAAGCAACGUGAAGAACCUUUACAGCCCUUGUCAUCCCUUGCAGAGGUAUAGAUAUAUAUUCGAUGUUAUCAAGGAGACAGGUGGUGCAUGGUUGUCGUCAGAUUGUGUCGUGAGAUUCUGGGUUCAGUCCGGCGGUGAGUCGCAUCCGUUGUGAUAUUUUUCUAACAUUGAGUUGGGGAGUCAUAUCACCCUGCCUGGUGAUAAACCGGAGGAUGGUGGGGAUGCAGUCAAUUCAUCAUGCCCCUUAAGGCCUGGGCAACACACCUUGUACAAUGGGCUGUACAAAGAGCGGCAAGCGUGUGAAGCCAAGGGAAUUUCAUAAAGGAUGUCUCAGUUGGGAUCGAAUUGUGCACCCUGAGUUCAGGAAGUUGGAACCGUUAGUAAUGGCGAAUCAGCAUGUAGCGGUGAAUAAGUUUUCGUCCUUAGCACACACCGCCCUUCA